This 212-nucleotide unclassified non-coding RNA is filed under the name Hevea brasiliensis (rubber tree). Lineage: Eukaryota; Viridiplantae; Streptophyta; Magnoliopsida; Malpighiales; Euphorbiaceae. The record is from RNAcentral.
CUAUCUCCAAGAAGUCCGGAGUUACCUAAUUCGCUGCCUCCCCUCCGAACCACGAACAGGGUCGCGUCUCCAAAACGCGAGUCUGGCGUUCUAAAUGCUCGGAAACACGUCCUGUUUCGCUGAAAUAGGGGUUCCAAACAGGCAGGCAGCAACAUGCAAGAAAGAGAAAGAACAACAAAGAACAGAAAAAAACAAAAACAAAAAGUUGGGAG